Molecule: transfer RNA, 56 nt
Filed under: Erysipelotrichaceae bacterium
Lineage: Bacteria; Bacillati; Bacillota; Erysipelotrichia; Erysipelotrichales; Erysipelotrichaceae
Description: tRNA-Ser
Rfam family: tRNA
About the family: Transfer RNA (tRNA) molecules are approximately 80 nucleotides in length. Their secondary structure includes four short double-helical elements and three loops (D, anti-codon, and T loops).
Source: RNAcentral
GGUAGAGCAGAGGACUGAAAAUCCUCGUGUCGCUGGUUCGAUUCCGGCUUUGGGCA